UACGUAGGGGGCUAGCGUUGUCCGGAAUCAUUGGGCGUAAAGCGCGUGUAGGCGGUCCGGUAAGUCCGCUGUGAAAGUCGGGGGCUCAACCCUCGGAUGCCGGUGGAUACUGUCGGGCUUGAGUACGGAAGAGGCGAGUGGAAUUCCUGGUGUAGCGGUGAAAUGCGCAGAUAUCAGGAGGAACACCAAUUGCGAAGGCAGCUCGCUGGGACGUUACUGACGCUGAGACG
RNAcentral lists this ribosomal RNA (230 nucleotides) under uncultured microorganism. RNAcentral describes it as "partial 16S ribosomal RNA". It matches the Rfam family "Bacterial small subunit ribosomal RNA", at positions 524 to 753 of the family's 1533-position model. The record is from RNAcentral.